Capsicum annuum is the source of this 274-nucleotide long non-coding RNA. RefSeq lists it as uncharacterized. Lineage: Eukaryota; Viridiplantae; Streptophyta; Magnoliopsida; Solanales; Solanaceae. The transcript is spliced from 3 exons. The record is from RefSeq and is a predicted model, not a curated record.
UUUUUAUUCUUUUGACAUUUUGCGGCAAAACGAACGCGGCAAAUUCUCCCUCAUUUUCUCUAAUAAAUUUUCUCCCUGUUUUAGUUUCAAAUUCUAGGGUUUUUAAUUUUCUCAGCACUCAACUCUCAGCAGCGAUAUUUUUCUCUCCUCUCGACUUGAAAUUGUUUUCGAGAUCAAUUAGAGUUAUGCGUUUUCAAUUUCGAGAUUAAUUAGAGUUAAGUUCAGUGGUAUUGCAGUAUCAAUAGUGAUGAAGUACGCUGACAAUAUUGUGAAG